Molecule: ribosomal RNA, 240 nt
Filed under: uncultured bacterium
Lineage: Bacteria
Description: partial 16S ribosomal RNA
Rfam family: Bacterial small subunit ribosomal RNA
Source: RNAcentral
CGGGCGGACGGGUGAGUAACGCGUGGGUAACCUGCCCCAUACAGGGGGAUAACAGUUAGAAAUAGGCUGCUAAUACCGCAUAAGACCACAGUACUGCAUGGUACAGUGGUAAAAACUCCGGUGGUAUGAGAUGGACCCGCGUCUGAUUAGGUAGUUGGUGAGGUAACGGCCCACCAAGCCGACGAUCAGUAGCCGACCUGAGAGGGUGACCGGCCACAUUGGGACUGAGACACGGCCCAG